This 565-nucleotide ribosomal RNA is filed under the name Salmonella enterica. RNAcentral describes it as "partial 23S ribosomal RNA". It matches the Rfam family "Bacterial large subunit ribosomal RNA", at positions 624 to 1190 of the family's 2925-position model. Lineage: Bacteria; Pseudomonadati; Pseudomonadota; Gammaproteobacteria; Enterobacterales; Enterobacteriaceae. The record is from RNAcentral.
CGACUUAUAUUCUGUAGCAAGGUUAACCGAAUAGGGGAGCCGGAGGGAAACCGAGUCUUAACCGGGCGUUAAGUUGCAGGGUAUAGACCCGAAACCCGGUGAUCUAGCCAUGGGCAGGUUGAAGGUUGGGUAACACUAACUGGAGGACCGAACCGACUAAUGUUGAAAAAUUAGCGGAUGACCUGUGGCUGGGGGUGAAAGGCCAAUCAAACCGGGAGAUAGCUGGUUCUCCCCGAAAGCUAUUUAGGUAGCGCCUCGUGAAUUCAUCUCCGGGGGUAGAGCACUGUUUCGGCUAGGGGGCCAUCCCGGCUUACCAACCCGAUGCAAACUGCGAAUACCGGAGAAUGUUAUCACGGGAGACACACGGCGGGUGCUAACGUCCGUCGUGAAGAGGGAAACAACCCAGACCGCCAGCUAAGGUCCCAAAGUCAUGGUUAAGUGGGAAACGAUGUGGGAAGGCCCAGACAGCCAGGAUGUUGGCUUAGAAGCAGCCAUCAUUUAAAGAAAGCGUAAUAGCUCACUGGUCGAGUCGGCCUGCGCGGAAGAUGUAACGGGGCUAAACCAU